UGGGGAAUUUUGCGCAAUGGACGAAAGUCUGACGCAGCAACGCCGCGUGGGUGAUGAAGGUCUUCGGACUGUAAAACCCUGUCGUCAGGGACGAAGAUGUAUACGUUAAUAGCGUGUGCAUUUGACGGUACCUGGAGAGGAAGCCCCGGCUAACUCUGUGCCAGCAGCCGCGGUAAUACAGAGGGGGCAAGCGUUAUUCGGAAUUAUUGGGCGUAAAGGGCGCGUAGGCGGUUUUUUAAGUCAGAUGUGU
RNAcentral lists this ribosomal RNA (250 nucleotides) under uncultured bacterium. RNAcentral's name for it is "partial 16S ribosomal RNA". It matches the Rfam family "Bacterial small subunit ribosomal RNA", at positions 355 to 597 of the family's 1533-position model. The record is from RNAcentral.